RNAcentral lists this ribosomal RNA (444 nucleotides) under uncultured bacterium. RNAcentral describes it as "partial 16S ribosomal RNA". It matches the Rfam family "Bacterial small subunit ribosomal RNA", at positions 354 to 796 of the family's 1533-position model. The record is from RNAcentral.
GUAGGGAAUAUUGGGCAAUGGAUGCAAGUCUGACCCAGCCAUCCCGCGUGCCGGAAGAAGGCCCUCAGGGUUGUAAACGGCUUUUGACGGUGAAGAAUCGACAGGAUGCGUCCUGUUUUGACGGUAGCCGUUGAAUAAGCACCGGCUACUCCGUGCCAGCAGCCGCGGUAAUACGGAGGGUGCGAGCGUUGUCCGGAUUUAUUGGGUUUAAAGGGUGCGUAGGCUGGAAGGUCAGUCAGCGGUGAAAAGCUGUCGCUUAACGAUAGUCUUGCCGCAGAUACUUCCUUUCUUGGAUGAGGAGGAGGCCACUGGAACGGAUGGUGUAGCGGUGAAAUGCAUAGAUAUCAUCCAGAACACCGAUUGCGAAGGCAGGUGGCUGUACCUUAAUCGACGCUGAUGCACGAAAGCAUGGGGAGCAAACAGGAUUAGAAACCCGGGUAGUCC